Leptonychotes weddellii (Weddell seal) is the source of this 1348-nucleotide non-coding RNA. The record is from RefSeq and is a predicted model, not a curated record. Lineage: Eukaryota; Metazoa; Chordata; Mammalia; Carnivora; Phocidae.
UUCUUGGGAUGAAGCCCAUUUUGGGAGUUUCACAGUUUAAGAAAGGCUGCCCGCUGUAUGGCCCUUCUGAGCAUCAGGACAACGCUGGGGAAUGCGCAGAGGGGCUGGGGUCAGGAAGCUCACUGCCGGCUUCAGGGGAGGGUACAGUUAGAUGUUCCUACUGUGGCGGACAGAGAGGUUACGGGCCUCUCAAGUCCGGUGGCAGUGAGGGGUGAGCGGGGAUUGGGGCCACCGUACCCCCAGACAGGGCUCCUUGGCCUCUGCCCUGUGCUGAACAUAGCCCAGUGGCUCUGCGGGGUCUUCCCGGAUCCAUCUCGAGUCUUCCAGGUUCCAGAGCUUGGGAGAAAGCCUGUCCGGUCCCUGAGCAGGCCCGAUGGGUACCAACCCUGCUGCAUCCCCUGCUCCUCGCUGAAGCUGGCCUCUCCCGCGGGAGAGGAGGCAAAGGAAAGAUUCCGUGUCCCACAGGGGCGCCUGAGUGCAGAUCGCUGUUUGAGGCCAAGCAGAAAGAAAACCAGUUCGCCCAAAGAGAGUGGCCUGGCCGAACAGAGGGGGAGAGAGCAAAUGGACUUGAGGAAUCUGGACCCUCACCUGUGUGUUCUCGAAACAGGCAGGGCCACCCAGAGGUCUUCUGUGGGGCCACCCCCUUCGGACUUGAGCAGACUCACCGUUAGCAGGAUUCACGCACACCUCGGACCUCAGGAGCACCGGCCAGCCCGGCUCCGCGGCUCUAAGGGGCCAUUCCCCCAGGGAGGGACCAAGGAUCCGCCCAAGGGGUUAGAACCAGCCGCUGGGAGAAAUCCUGCCUCAUGUCCUGACCAGGUGAUCUCGGGCGUCCUCCACCUUUCCGAGCCUCGUUUCUUCAUCCAGGAGACGCAGAUGAAGCCGUCCACCUCACUGAGGGCAUCUGGGAUCCUUCCGGCACUCAAAGUGAGCAGUGUCAAGGAACGGCGCCUGGAGAGGGGCUGGCGGUGUUCGUGUGUUCCAGAGGCCAGGGCAGGAUCCCGUGUGGCAGGGAUAUCCGAGUCGGUCAAGCUCAAGCAGGCGUGAGCACAGCGUCCCAGGUGGAGGCCUGAGGGGGAGCUGCAGGGAGGUGGCCCGGGAGCUAGAGGAGUGGGCUCUCGGGGGUUGGGGGCAGGGCCACGGCAUGGGCGCCGUGGAAACAUCUCUUUCGGCCCCUGCCGGGAUUGUCAAGUGCAGCAAGCAUGGGCUGAACCUGCAUGGAGACCCUGCCCGAGGACUGUCCACCAUCUCACGCCCAAUGUACACCGCGGUGGACAGAAGACCCUGGCUUCCCUUCUGGAGGCCUGCAGGGACAUCGGGUAGUAAAUAAAGUGCUGGUCAGAGAUGC